ACCUAUGUUAAAGAUACUAAGAUAUAAUACUAAAUCAUGUUCACUAAUUUCUUUAAUUUUCUGUGUUAAAUUACUUGCAUAACCUAUAAAUUUGUCAGUCAAGUAAUAUGGCUUCUUGGAUCACAGUGACACCGCGGCUUGAACAAGGUUUGAAAAUAGCAAAUCAGAUAGACAACAGUAAAUUUCGCUUGUUAAUAAAUCGUAUUUGUCAAACGCUUCAAUCAAAUAUUAAUACAAAAAUAUUCAAUGAAGAGGAAGAAGAAAAACUAUUAAUUUCUUUGGAUUUAAAUAAAAAUGAUUUAGUUUGUCUUUUAGAUACAAUAAUAUUAAUUUAUAAACAAGCUGCUUGCAAUAUUGUAAAACCACAAUUAAUGGAAAAUACUUUAAAGAAUACUUUUAAAACAGAUGAUGAUAAAUGUUUAAUAUUUUUAAAUGCAUGGUUUACAUAUGGUAAAGGUAUAAUUGAUCAUUUUAGACAAAUGUCUAUUUUUCCUGUUCAGGUUAAGGACAUCGAUUGGAGUUUAAAUAUUCAAGCUGCAUCUUCAACUAUUAAAAAGGAUGUGCGACCAAUGGCAUUAUUGCAAUUAAAUUUAACAGGAGAAGACGAAUCUAAAUUAACCCUGGAAUUUGAUAAAAAAGAACUCAUAGAUUUAUAUCACAAUUUAGAGAGAAUACAAUCACAAUUGGAUGCUUUUAAAUAAUAGAGUAUUCAGUGUACGUGUAUUUGCAUCAAAGACGAUGGGAAUCAGAAACAAGUUGCAAUGAUGUUUUCAUAUUAUUAUUUAUUUAAAGAAAUAUGGUUUACAAUGCCGAAGAGACUGACACUCAAACGCGCACGUACGAUCCACCGAUCACACCUCGGUGCAGAUUCUUGAAUUGUUCACGUUGGAAACUUAACAGUAACUCAAUGGCACACGAAGGUGAUGGUCGAUCGAGUGACAGCAAUGAAAACGCAACAUUAUUCGAAACGAAGAUAAAUAUUUCAAAGGGGACGCUUAACAGUAAGAAUUGUCUUAGCGUUAAUUUUAACAUGUGGCUGUUAUAUAUAAUGAGCAUCAGCAGUAAAAUGGGUAUCGUAGUAUUCUAAUAAAAAAAAAAA
RNAcentral lists this unclassified non-coding RNA (1099 nucleotides) under Apis florea (little honeybee). Its description in RNAcentral is "cOMM domain-containing protein 10, transcript variant X2". Lineage: Eukaryota; Metazoa; Arthropoda; Insecta; Hymenoptera; Apidae. The record is from RNAcentral.